GGUGAACUGGACUUCGUGGAUAGUGUGGAAGGGACUUUGGGAGAGACCUGUGCCCAUGAUAAAAGGGAAGAUGAAGGUGUUCCUUUGAGUUUGCAUGUGUGGGGCCUUUUUGGCAUGGUUGACGUGUCUGUGCUCCUUCCUGUGACUUGACAUCAAAAUUAGCCUUGCAGCUUCAGGGCUGCUGAUUCUGAUUAUGCUGUGCAAAGGGUGUUCGUUCCACGGUCACACUGUCUCCAUGAGGCAGCAACGUCUAGGAGUGUUAUCCCCAUUGAGGGGGCAGAGAAACCAAGGAAGGAGGAGGGCAGGUGCUGGCCCAAGUCACACACAGAUGAAGGCACACAUGGUCACGCACACCUGGGAAAGCUUAGCAGCACUCCUGGCUCUCCUCAGGAGUUCAUAGAACUCUGCGCUGUGUGGAGCACUGAGUUCAGAAGGGUUUGCUGUGUGAUGCUCGAAUCAGGAGGCUCUGAUGGACUCUUCCCUUCUCUGUCUCUCCAGGGUCUGACUGAGGCACAUUUAUGGGACUCUGGUGAGGAAGACUCCGGUUUGCGGAACACCUCCAAUGGCCACUGCUUAAAUUGAACAAAUGAUGCAUCACAAAACUACAACAGGACUCUUCAAAUUCACGGUCGGUGCAAUCUGUAUGUAAUUGUAUUGUAACAGUUGUCCAGCAGAUGGCAGUAAAGUAUCAUGAAACAGAGUUGCCUGGUGACCUGUGCUGCACCUUUGUGAGUUAGCGGCGACCAGGCUUCACACACUGGACUUACUGGAGUCACUACUAAGCCAAGGCCACAGCAGAAAGACCACUGUGUUUUGCAUGACCUAGGGGCUCCAUGCUGGCCUGGCUGCACCAGAGCCCUUUCAAAACACGCGGUUUAGUUCAGGGCUCACAUUGGCCAUUGCCUGGUUUUGUUUGGCCAGCAAGGAAAAUGUGCAAAGCCCUGGAUUGCUCCUUUGGGACUUCAUCAGCUGCAAACCCUCACAGUAUUUUUGUGUGUUUGGAAGUAAGAAGAGAGCAAGCGAAGGCCGAGACCUAAUGGGAAGACCUGGCGGCUGGGAGAAGGGCUCCUGGCCAGGAUCCGUGAGUCGGCUUCUUGAAGUGAAAGACAGAACUCUCUGCUCUUCAGGUUCUAUCAGUGCAAAGAGGGCCCACUAAGACCCACUCUGCAGGGCUGUUGAGGAAAACCCCAUCUGACAGGCACCCGACAAAGCUCCUCACACUCCGUAAAUGCCACCCAUCAUGAAUGUGGCUAUGAUUAAAUCGUGAUGAGGACUGUGACCCACAAGACUGGAAAACCACUUUGGCACCUUGAUGCAGAUGUUUUCAAGGACUGGGUUAGAGAAUACGUACCAUCAUUCUACUUUUAGCUGUUUUGUUUCAUUAAAACCUUUUUGGUUUAGCAUGACAACCAUAACAAGUACAAUAUUUUGGCCAAUUUCAUUUAAUUUGGCACACAGAAUGGAAGAAAUACUAAGAUAUUAUUUUCUACAUGACUGUGUAGCUGGGAUGAUUGGAACUGAAUCAUUUAUUGCGCAUUUGAAUGGUUAAUUUUAUUAUGCUCACAUUGUGUACAUAUUCUGUGGCUUAUAUAUAAUCAAUAAAUAUUCUAUGACUUAUUCCUCUUCAGAAACAUGUGGAAAGAUGAAUAAAAAACAACCACAGCAUGACAGGGUUAGGGAAUUCUAGAAAUGGAAAAGAUGUUAAAAGUGGGUUUAUAGUAAAAUCCAACAUCUAGAGGAAGGAUUUAAAGUCUAAGCAGAAACCCUUUCUGGCGGUCUGCAGAAGUCUCCCAUCUUGCUAAAGUGUCACAUUUGGCACAUAUUCCUGGAAAACGUUUUAGUGUUUUUCAAUUAAAUUCCUUACUGCUGUCCCUCUUGCCAA
RNAcentral lists this non-coding RNA (1882 nucleotides) under Pongo abelii (Sumatran orangutan). The record is from RNAcentral. Lineage: Eukaryota; Metazoa; Chordata; Mammalia; Primates; Hominidae.